This 496-nucleotide ribosomal RNA is filed under the name uncultured bacterium. RNAcentral's name for it is "partial 16S ribosomal RNA". It matches the Rfam family "Bacterial small subunit ribosomal RNA", at positions 29 to 507 of the family's 1533-position model. The record is from RNAcentral.
AUGAACGCUGGCGGCGUGCCUAAUACCUGCAAGUCGAGCGAACGGAUGAGAAGCUUGCUUCUCUGAUGUUAGCGGCGGACGGGUGAGUAACACGUGGAUAACCUACCUAUAAGACUGGGAUAACUUCGGGAAACCGGAGCUAAUACCGGAUGAUAUUUUGAACCGCAUGGUUCAAAAGUGAAAGACGGUCUUGCUGUCACUUAUAGAUGGAUCCGCGCUGCAUUAGCUAGUUGGUAAGGUAACGGCUUACCAAGGCAACGAUGCAUAGCCGACCUGAGAGGGUGAUCGGCCACACUGGAACUGAGACACGGUCCAGACUCCUACGGGAGGCAGCAGUAGGGAAUCUUCCGCAAUGGGCGAAAGCCUGACGGAGCAACGCCGCGUGAGUGAUGAAGGUCUUCGGAUCGUAAAACUCUGUUAUUAGGGAAGAACAUAUGUGUAAGUAACUGUGCACAUCUUGACGGUACCUAAUCAGAAAGCCACGGCUAACUACGUG